AUCCAGCCGACGAGUCCUGAAUAGGGCGAAAUACGCGUCCUGGAU
Non-coding RNA from Schistosoma haematobium, 45 nucleotides. The record is from Rfam. Lineage: Eukaryota; Metazoa; Platyhelminthes; Trematoda; Strigeidida; Schistosomatidae.